GCAGAGUAGGCUUUUGUGCGUUAAGUGCCGGUUGAACAGGGAGUUGUCAGCCGGACGAAAAGGGUUGUUUUAACAGCUCUUGCGGUACAUUGGCCGCAUCCCGCUGC
RNAcentral lists this non-coding RNA (107 nucleotides) under uncultured Enterocloster sp. Its description in RNAcentral is "THF riboswitch". It matches the Rfam family "THF (Tetrahydrofolate) riboswitch aptamer". From Rfam's summary of the family: THF riboswitch presents a pseudoknot that joins P1-P2 and the loop of P3 and two THF binding. The record is from RNAcentral. Lineage: Bacteria; Bacillati; Bacillota; Clostridia; Lachnospirales; Lachnospiraceae.